UUGGCAGAGAGAUCUUCUACAACCAACAGAGACUAGAAAAGCCCCGACUGCAUCUCUGGAGAAACCCACAGAACCACCCUAUUCAGGAAAAAUCCAAAAAUGAGACUUCUAUCAUUUAAAAGAAAUAGGUCUCCAGUUACACGACCCCUCUCGGGAGACCUUAUCCCUUUCUCCAUGCUUUGUUUGUUUGUGUUUCUGUUUUGGUUUGUCUGAGACAAUGUUUCACUCUAGCCAAGGCUGGCCCGGAACUUGCAGCUAUCCUCCUGCCUCAUCCUCCUGCCUCAUCCUCCUUAAACGCUGAGAUUAUGAGCAUGAAGUACCCUGUUUCACUAAGACCUUUUCUUUUUCACUUUGCUUCUGCAUCUCCCUUUGUCCUGAAGGAUCCUGGGAUCAGUAUGGGCGCAGCGGCGUAGAAAGGCAAGGUUGAGAAGAGGAAAGCCAGAUGCUACACUCCCUUUCUCCCUGAAGGUUUCUGAACUAAGCCAGCCCUAACCUCUGGCUAUAAACAAGAGGCACACAGAGAGCUGCAUUCUCCAGGCUGGAGAGAAACAACCAAAGAACUUUCCAUUUGCUCCAUGAAGAAAAGCGAGGCCUGCAUUGCCAUCACGCCAGGCUCCAAACUAUCAGUUUGAAUGUUUGUAUCCCUCCAAAAUUCAUGUGGAAACUUAAUCUCCAGUGGAACACACUACGAGGCAAGGCCUUGAGGAGUCGACUAGGUCCUGAAGGAUCUUCCAUCCUGAAUGGGAUGAAGGUCCUCAAAAUGAAGGUCAAGAGAACACCGAACUUCUGCUUUGGCAUCUUGCACCAAGUGAAGGUACAAUGUUCAAUGCACCACUUUGGAGUCAGAAACUAGAGACCAAAUACAUCUUGAUUUUGAAAUUACAGCCUCUGUCUUAGAUAGGUUUCUAUUGCGAGAAGUGAUACCGUGACCACGGAAACUCUUAUAAGGAAGCAUUUCACUGAGGGGGCUCCCUUAGAGUGUCACAAGCUGAUGUGAUGCUGGAGAAGCAGCUGAGAGUCCUACAUCUGGCAGGCAACAGGAAGUGG
This is a long non-coding RNA of Peromyscus leucopus (white-footed mouse), 1047 nucleotides long. RefSeq lists it as uncharacterized. NCBI's taxonomy places the organism in Eukaryota, Metazoa, Chordata, Mammalia, Rodentia, Cricetidae. The record is from RefSeq and is a predicted model, not a curated record. The transcript has 3 exons.